RNAcentral lists this ribosomal RNA (847 nucleotides) under Acanthopharynx parva. RNAcentral describes it as "SSU rRNA". The record is from RNAcentral. Lineage: Eukaryota; Metazoa; Nematoda; Chromadorea; Desmodorida; Desmodoridae.
CUUAUUUUACUUGGAUAACUGUGGUAAUUCUAGAGCUAAUACAUGCAGCCAKGCUCCGACCUURYGGGAGGAGYGCAUUUAUUAGACCAAGACCAAUCAGGCYUCGGCCUGCUAAUCUGGUGACUCUGAAUAACUUUGCUGAUCACACGGUCCUCGCACCGGUGACAUAUCUUUCAAGUGUCUGCCCUAUCAACUGUCGAUGGUAGUUUAUGUGCCUACCAUGGUURUAACGGGUAACGGAGAAUAAGGGUUCGACUCCGGAGAGGGAGCCUGAGAAAURGCUACCACAUCCAAGGAAGGCAGCAGGCGCGCAAAUUACCCACUCUCAGCUCGAGGAGGUAGUGACGAAAAAUAACGAGACGGUUCUCUUUGAGGCCCGUCAUCGGAAUGGGUACAAUCUAAACCCUUUAAUGAGGAUCUAUUGGAGGGCAAGUCUGGUGCCAGCAGCCGCGGUAAUUCCAGCUCCAAUAGCAUAUACCAAUUCUGCUGCUGUUAAAAAGCUCGUAGUUGGAUCUUUCCCAAGGGYCCAGUCUGUCUGAUGGACUAGCACUGGGUCCCGAGGGUCUUACCUGGCUGGUUGUCCCAUGGUGCCCUUAAUUGAGUGCCUUGGGUAGCUAGCACGUUUACUUUGAAAAAAUUAGAGUGCUCAAAACAGGCUWAAUUGCCUGAAUAGUGGUGCAUGGAAUAAUGGAAUAGGACCUCGGUUCUAUUUUGUUGGUUUUAGGAGCGYGAGGUAAUGAUUAAGAGGGACAGACGGGGGCAUUCGUAUUGCRGYGUUAGAGGUGAAAUUCUUGGAUCRCYGCAAGACGAACAACUGCGAAAGCAUUUGCCAAGAAUGUUUUCAUUA